Molecule: ribosomal RNA, 824 nt
Filed under: Polypedilum yongsanensis
Lineage: Eukaryota; Metazoa; Arthropoda; Insecta; Diptera; Chironomidae
Description: 12S ribosomal RNA
Source: RNAcentral
AUAGUUUUAUUUUAAUUAAGAAAUUUAAUUAAAUAAAAUUUUACAUAUAAAAUUUUUUGUUUUUUAAUUAAUUUUAAAUAAAUUUUUUUAGUUAAAUUUAUUAAAUUAAAAAUAGUAGUAAUUAGUAUUAUUAUUUUAAUUUAUGUUAAAAUGUAGUUAUUAUUUAAAAGUAUUGAUUAAAUUUGUGCCAGCAAUCGCGGUUAUACAAAUAUUAUAAUUAAAUUUUUUUUAAUAGAAGUUAAAAUUUUAAAUUAUAUUUUAUUUUAAAAUAAUAAUAAAUUUUUAGGUGAAAUUUAAAAUUUUAUUAUAAUUUUAAAAUUUAUAAAAUUUUGAAUCUUGGAAAAUUUAAGUAAAAACUAGGAUUAGAUACCCUAUUAUUUAAAAAGUAAAAUAAUUGAAUUAAAUUAAGGUAGUAAAAAUUAAAUUUUUAAAACUUAAUAAAUUUGGCGGUAUUUUAUUCUGUUUAGAGGAAUUUGUCCUAUAAUCGAUAAUCCACGAAUAUUUUACUUUUUUUUGUUUUCAGUUUAUAUAUCGUUGUCAUCAGAAUAUUUUAAAAGAAUAAAAAAUUUUCUAAAUUUUAAAUUUAAAAUUAUGUCAAAUCAAGGUAUAAUUAAUAAAAAAGAAGAGAUGAGUUACAAUAAAGUUUAUUUAUAAUGAAUAAAAUAAUAAAAAUUAGAUUUGAAAGUGGAUUUAAAAGUAAAUUAAUUUAUAAAAAUUGAUUGAUUAAAGUUUUAAAAUAUGCACAUAUCGCCCGUCGCUCUCGUUAUAUUUAAAUGAGAUAAGUCGUAACAUAGUAGAUGUAUUGGAAAAUGUAUCUAGAAAUA